GGGGAUGUAGCUCAGUGGAAGAGUACAUGCUUAGCAUGCAUGAGCCCCUGGGUUCAAUCCCUAGCACCA
Molecule: transfer RNA, 69 nt
Filed under: Heterocephalus glaber (naked mole-rat)
Lineage: Eukaryota; Metazoa; Chordata; Mammalia; Rodentia; Bathyergidae
Rfam family: tRNA
About the family: Transfer RNA (tRNA) molecules are approximately 80 nucleotides in length. Their secondary structure includes four short double-helical elements and three loops (D, anti-codon, and T loops).
Source: Rfam by way of RNAcentral